GCCGGGCGUGGUGGCUCACGCCUGUAAUCCCAGCACUUUGGGAGGCAGAGGUGGGUGGAUCACUUGAGGUCAGGAGUUUGAGACCAGCCUGGUCAACAUGGUGAAACCCCGUCUCUA
This is a non-coding RNA of Chlorocebus sabaeus (green monkey), 117 nucleotides long. It matches the Rfam family "Metazoan signal recognition particle RNA". Rfam says of the family: The signal recognition particle (SRP) is a universally conserved ribonucleoprotein. It is involved in the co-translational targeting of proteins to membranes. The record is from Rfam. NCBI's taxonomy places the organism in Eukaryota, Metazoa, Chordata, Mammalia, Primates, Cercopithecidae.